UGGCUGAGCGCAGUGGCAAACGCCUCUAAUCCUAGCACUUUGGGAGGCCAAGGCGGGUGGAUCACUUGAGGUCAGGAGUUUAAGACCAGCCUGGCCAACAUGCUGAAACCCCAUCUCUACCAAAAAUACAAAAAUUAGCCGGGCAUGGUGGUGCGUGCCUGUGGUCCCAGCUACCCAGGAGGCUGAGGCAAGAGAAUCGCUGGAACCCAGGAGGCAGAGUCUGCAGUGAGCCAAGAUUGUGCCACUGCACUCCAGCCUGGGCAACAGAGUAAGACUCCGUCUCAAAAAAAAAAGUCAUCUUUUCUGAUAAUGAAGAAUAUUUUCCUUCUUAUACACCCUUAGUUUAGAAAUGUGGAGAGGCGUGUUUUCCCAUAAAGAACAAGCCUGUUAAUAUUUGUUGGUUGCUGAUAUUAUACAGUCCUGGUGAAUUUUUCCUCUUCAUUGCUAGAUCCAGCCCCCAAAGAAGAGGUAUGAUUGUCCUGAAACUACGAUACUUUGAAGGAACUCUGAGAGAGCCACUUGGAGAGGCUACAUGAGGGAGUACAAAAGGGCUCUAAAUGACAGCCCCAUGUAAAAUCCCAGCCUAUAGCAAGGACCAACUGCCACCAUCGUACACAUUCCAAAUCAGUUGAACCUCCAGUGAGCCAUCUUGGAUAUUUCAAACCACUGGAGCCUUCAGGUGACUGAGGUUAUAGCUCCCACCACAUAGAGAACUACCUAGGUGAGGCCAACUAAAUCACAGACUCAUGAACAGCAAUAAAUACUUGUUACUGAUUGAAGCCAUUCAGUUAUGGGUGUCUGAUACCAUCCACUGAGCAAUCUUAAAAUCUUGACAGACAUUAGAGUGCACAUGAUAAGACAAAAUUUAAACUAUACAAUACCAUCAUGUAAUAUACUCUGAAAAAAAAAUCAGUUUCCUAGAUCUCACAAUUAGUUCACAGGAGAUACAGAGAGGGAGAACUAAGUUAACAUAAAAAGUCCAGUGAGCAAGGCAGGUAGCACAGACCCCGAGCAAUCAGCCUAGUAGCUGUGUCUGUGUGAUGCAGAGGCACUAAGUUGGGAGGUCCCAAGGCAGCAGCAGAAGCAAUAGUGGUGGCAAACAGUGGCCACAGCCUGGGGAGCAGCACAGGGAUCUGGGUGGAAGGCUGGCCAGUCUGUCCAUCUUGGACCUUGUUCCUGUGGUGCCUGCAUAAUUAUUAACUCUUUGGCAUGAGCUCCAGGACAGGGACUGUGGUUGCUCAGGAAGUAAAGUUUCUUAGUAAACUAUUACAAAAUAACAGCGUACACAUGGGCAUUGCAAUCAAGUAUAUUGGAGUUAUUAGGAUUUAGGAUUCCCCCAAAAGUUCAGAAUGUCCAGUUUUGAACACUGUUGCAUCAGUGCCAAGAAAACACCCACAGGUUUAGAAAGAGAACUGAAACUCAAAGAUUAUCCAAUUUAACAGACUAUUUUUAUAUGAGGCUUUUGAUAAACCACUUAUUCAUAAAACAAUUUGAG
RNAcentral lists this long non-coding RNA (1495 nucleotides) under Homo sapiens (human). RNAcentral describes it as "HSALNT0330246". Lineage: Eukaryota; Metazoa; Chordata; Mammalia; Primates; Hominidae. The record is from RNAcentral.